This 1033-nucleotide long non-coding RNA is filed under the name Phasianus colchicus (ring-necked pheasant). RNAcentral's name for it is "lncRNA (ENSPCLG00000014206.1)". The record is from RNAcentral. Lineage: Eukaryota; Metazoa; Chordata; Aves; Galliformes; Phasianidae.
CGCUGUGGCGGCGCGGAGCCCAACCGGCAGCGCCGUAGCGCACAGCGCAGCGCCCGGCCCGGCCCAGGUAACGGCGCGGGGUUCGGGGCGGGGGGUCGGAACGGGGCCGGCGGGGGUCCUGGGGGAGAGCGGGGCACAACGGGGGGCACGGAGCCCCGCUGGGUCGGGAGGGAGGGAAUGGGGCGCCGUGGGGUUGGCUGUGAGUGAAUGGGGGCGGAUGUGGGGCGGGCAGGGCCUGCUGUGGGGCCUAUGGGGCCUGUAGGGUCUGCUGUGGGGUUUGUAGGGUCUGCUAUGGGGCCUAUGGGGCCUGUAGGGUCUGCUGUGGGGUUUGUAGGGCCUGCUGUGGGGCCUAUAGGGCCUAUAGGGUUUGCUGUGGGGCCUGUGGGGCCUGCUGUGGGGUCUGUGGGGCCUGCUGUGGGGCUUCUAGGGUCUGCUAUGGGGCCUGUAGGGUCUGCUGUAGGGCUUGUAGGGUCUGCUGUAGGGCUUGUAGGGUCUGCUGUGGGGCCUGUAGGGUCUGAUUGGGGUGUGUAUGGCCGGCUAUGGGGCGCAUAGGACAUGCUAUAGGGCACAUAGGGCAUGCUGUGUGGUGCAGAGGUUCUGUUUGGGGUAUAUAGGGACUGCUAUGGGGCACACAGGGCCUGCUGUGGGGUUUAUAGGACCUGCUGUGGGGUGUAUAGGGUCUGUUUGGGGUGUACAGGACCUGCUUUGGGGCACACAGGAACUGCUGUGGGGUGUGUAGGGUCUGUUUGGGGUGUAUAGGACCUGUUUGGGGCCUCAGGCUGCAGAGGUCGCGCUGUGGGGUUUUGGGGCUGGGGGGGGACGCGGUUCCUUUUGGGGGUCUGCGUGUUUGGGGAGGGGGGAACUCUGUGGUGCCAGCCCCACAAGUGCCAGCCCCACAAGUACCAGCCCCAUAGUGCCCCAUAGUGCCCCAUAGCGCCAGCCCUACAGUACCAGCCCCACAAGUACCAGCCCCAUAGUGCCAGCCCUACAGUAUCAGCCCCAUAGGGCCAGCCCCAUAGCGCCAGCCCUACAA